RNAcentral lists this ribosomal RNA (717 nucleotides) under uncultured bacterium. Its description in RNAcentral is "bacterial SSU rRNA". It matches the Rfam family "Bacterial small subunit ribosomal RNA", at positions 335 to 1064 of the family's 1533-position model. The record is from RNAcentral.
ACUCCUACGGGUGGCUGCAGUGGGGAAUAUUGCACAAUGGGCGCAAGCCUGAUGCAGCGACGCCACGUGGGGGAUGACGGCCUUCGGGUUGUAAACUCCUUUCGCCAGGGACGAAGCUUUUUGUGACGGUACCUGGAGAAGAAGCACCGGCUAACUACGUGCCAGCAGCCGCGGUAAUACGUAGGGCGCAAGCGUUGUCCGGAAUUACUGGGCGUAAAGAGCUCGUAGGUGGUUUGUCACGUCGUCUGUGAAAUUCCACAGCUUAACUGUGGGCGUGCAGGCGAUACGGGCUGACUUGAGUACUGUAGGGGUAACUGGAAUUCCUGGUGUAGCGGUGAAAUGCGCAGAUAUCAGGAGGAACACCGAUGGCGAAGGCAGGUUACUGGGCAGUUACUGACGCUGAGGAGCGAAAGCAUGGGUAGCAAACAGGAUUAAAUACCCUGGUAGUCCAUGCCGUAAACGGUGGGCGCUAGGUGUAGGGGCCUUUUGGGGUUUCUGUGCCGUAGCUAACGCAUUAAGCGCCCCGCCUGGGGAGUACGGCCGCAAGGCUAAAACUCAAAGGAAUUGACGGGGGCCCGCACAAGCGGCGGAGCAUGUGGAUUAAUUCGAUGCAACGCGAAGAACCUUACCUGGGCUUGACAUACACCGGAUCGCUGCAGAGAUGUAGUUUCCCUUGUGGCUGGUGUACAGGUGAUGCAUGGAUGUCGUCAGCUCGUG